CCUACGGGGAGCAGCAGUGGGGGAUAUUGCACAAUGGGGGAAACCCUGAUGCAGCGACGCCGCGUGAGUGAGGAAGUAUUUCGGUAUGUAAAGCUCUAUCAGCAGGGAAUAAAGAAGAAAGUACCUCAGAGAAAAGACCCGGCUAACGACGUGCCAGCAUCCGCGGUAAUACGGAUGGGGCAAGCGUUAUCCGGAUUUAAUGUGUGUGAAGGGAGCGUAGACGGAAAGGCAAGUCAGAAGUGAAAACCCAAGGCUCAACGAUGGGACUGCUUUGGAAACUGUCAAACUAGAGUGCGGGAGAGGCAAGCGGAAUUCCUAGUGUAGCGGUGAAAUGCGUAGAUAUUAGGAGGAACACCAGUGGCGAAGGCGUCCUACUGGACUGAAACUGACGUUGAGGCUCGAAAGCGUGGGGAGCAAACAGGAUUAGAUACCCUAGUAGUC
Molecule: ribosomal RNA, 441 nt
Filed under: uncultured bacterium
Lineage: Bacteria
Description: partial 16S ribosomal RNA
Rfam family: Bacterial small subunit ribosomal RNA
Source: RNAcentral